Long non-coding RNA from Nomia melanderi (Alkali bee), 933 nucleotides. RefSeq lists it as uncharacterized. The record is from RefSeq and is a predicted model, not a curated record. Lineage: Eukaryota; Metazoa; Arthropoda; Insecta; Hymenoptera; Halictidae.
CUUUUGUCGGACGAGAAAACAAACGUUUACGGUUCGUACAAGAGGCGCGAACUUUAACGCUUUACGUCCCGAAGGACGUAAAGGGUCAAGGAACUUGCCAUCGGAGUACCUGUUGCGUUUGCUUCAACUGUUGGGCCACGCUAGGUGGUAACAUUUGGAAGAGCAAGGUGUCGCUCUUCCCUUUCUCCUGCUUCAACUCCCGCGCUUUCUGCGCCAAAUUCGCUGCGUACAUCUGCAGAAAGAUUCCCGCGUUGACGCGUAUAAUCCGAAGCAACGCUAGCCAUCGAGGGACGCGAGUAAUAUCGCGAAAAGAACCGACAACGUGCGCGGGAAUCGUGCGUCGUUUAGUUGGGACCCGAUGCAAGAGGAAAGCACGUGUCGCUUAAUUGGAGACGUCGAUAAAGACGAUAAAGGUGAGAAUUACGCGAUGACGGCUAAACGGAAAUGGAUUGAUGGAUCGGAGAAGGUUUUCGCUUACCUGUAUAGUAGCUACCGCGUUACGCACGAGGAUGAUGAUGAUGGGGGAGACGACCAACACUAGAACGACUAUAGCGAUUCCGGCGACUUCCUUGUUGCUCGCGUCUUGCAGGGUGGAGUUCACGUAAGUCCUGUUCAAACGAAAUAACAAUCAUCUCGAAACCGUCGCUAUUCUCGCGAGCUCGGUGCUGCCCGGUCGGGAGCCGGCAACCGGCAACCGGCAACCGGCAACCGCAAUUCCAUUAGCAGGAUUCACCUUAUCAUGUGACGUAGUUCCCGUUGUAGCUUCCGCAGUUCGUCCACGUAAGUCGCCAUUGAAUCGAAAUAAGCGAUCGCGUCGUCCACGCUCGGCUCCCUUUUCUGGUGCUUCAGGAUCUCGUCUCUCCUACGGCACGCAAGCUAAUUUUUAAGAUGAUCCGUCAUUACAAACAAACUGCUAACAAAUCGCGACUGUCA